GUAAAUGAAUUGUCUGCUGUCUUGCAAAUAAACCACAACCUCACUGGAUAUAAAAAGCCAAAAUCUUCAAGUGUCACUCCACUGUUCAGCACAAAAUCCACUCGACCCCUUUGUUCAGUUUGGAGGAAGUACUGCAUUAUGGGAGGUGACAUCCUUUAAAUGAGAUACAAGAAAACAGAACAAACUUAGUAACCACAUCUUGUACAUUCUUAUCCAAAUCAUUGAUAUAGAUGAUAAACAACAAUGGGCCCAGCACCGACCCCUGAGGAACAUCACUA
Molecule: long non-coding RNA, 278 nt
Organism: Pristis pectinata (smalltooth sawfish)
Lineage: Eukaryota; Metazoa; Chordata; Chondrichthyes; Rhinopristiformes; Pristidae
Exons: 3
Source: RefSeq, a predicted model, not a curated record